UACGUAGGGGGCAAGCGUUGUCCGGAUUUAUUGGGCGUAAAGAGCGUGUAGGCGGCUAGGUAGGUCCGUUGUGAAAACUCGAGGCUCAACCUCGAGACGCCGAUGGAAGCCAUCUGGCUAGAGUCCGGAAGAGGAGAGUGGAAUUCCUGGUGUAGCGGUGAAAUGCGCAGAUAUCAGGAAGAACACCCGUGGCUAAGGCGGCUCUCUAGUACGGUACUGACGCUGAGACGCGAAAGCGUGGGGAGCGAACAGG
RNAcentral lists this ribosomal RNA (253 nucleotides) under uncultured bacterium. RNAcentral describes it as "partial 16S ribosomal RNA". It matches the Rfam family "Bacterial small subunit ribosomal RNA", at positions 524 to 776 of the family's 1533-position model. The record is from RNAcentral.